This 252-nucleotide ribosomal RNA is filed under the name uncultured microorganism. Its description in RNAcentral is "partial 16S ribosomal RNA". It matches the Rfam family "Bacterial small subunit ribosomal RNA", at positions 524 to 776 of the family's 1533-position model. The record is from RNAcentral.
UACGUAGGGUGCGAGCGUUAAUCGGAUUUACUGGGCGUAAAGCGAGCGCAGGUGGUUUAAUAAGUCUGAUGUAAAAGGCAGUGGCUCAACCAUUGUGUGCAUUGGAAACUGUUAGACUUGAGUGCAGUAGAGGAGAGUGGAAUUCCAUGUGUAGCGGUGAAAUGCGUAGAUAUAUGGAGGAACACCGGUGGCGAAGGCGACUAUCUGGUCUGUAACUGACACUGAGGCGCGAAAGCGUGGGGAGCAAACAGG